Regulatory RNA element from Jonquetella anthropi DSM 22815, 156 nucleotides. It matches the Rfam family "glmS glucosamine-6-phosphate activated ribozyme aptamer". From Rfam's summary of the family: This entry contains a glucosamine-6-phosphate activated ribozyme that is found in the mRNA for GlmS. Lineage: Bacteria; Thermotogati; Synergistota; Synergistia; Synergistales; Dethiosulfovibrionaceae. The record is from Rfam.
CGGACGAUGGAAGCGCCUGAACUGCGAAGAGCAGUUGACGAGGUCGGGGGUUAUCGAAAUUUUCGGCGGGUUCCCUCGGGGAAGGAAGCGAUUCCCUCAAGGCUGUCCACAAAGACGUCGGGCGAUCGGCGGACAAAAGGGCGGCCGCGCUUCGCU